AGGGACGACAUCAAAAGUUCAAUGUAGGAUAAAAAACUUAAUUCACGUAGUUUUUUCGCUGACCCCCCUACCCCCCUUCUUAACUUAAUUUGGGAAAAAUUGAUUUACCUAUAUGGAUAUAUGUAAAAUCGAUUUUAUAUGAACAAAACUUUCAACUAUGUUGACCCCCCACCCCCAAACUAUUCGAUUUAAGUUUUUUUUAUCCUACAUCGAUCUUUUGAUGUCGUCCCU
Molecule: long non-coding RNA, 231 nt
Filed under: Mytilus galloprovincialis (Mediterranean mussel)
Lineage: Eukaryota; Metazoa; Mollusca; Bivalvia; Mytilida; Mytilidae
Source: RNAcentral